This 195-nucleotide ribosomal RNA is filed under the name uncultured bacterium. Its description in RNAcentral is "partial 16S ribosomal RNA". It matches the Rfam family "Bacterial small subunit ribosomal RNA", at positions 1298 to 1500 of the family's 1533-position model. The record is from RNAcentral.
UCGGAGUCUGNAACCCGACUCCGUGAAGCUGGAUUCGCUAGUAAUCGCGCAUCAGCCAUGGCGCGGUGAAUACGUUCCCGGGCCUUGUACACACCGCCCGUCAAGCCAUGGGAGCCGGGGGUGCUUGAAGUGCGUCGCCGCAAGGCGCGCCCUAGAGCAAAACCGGUGACUGGGGCUAAGUCGUAACAAGGUAGC